This 669-nucleotide ribosomal RNA is filed under the name uncultured archaeon. Its description in RNAcentral is "bacterial SSU rRNA". It matches the Rfam family "Archaeal small subunit ribosomal RNA", at positions 316 to 989 of the family's 1478-position model. The record is from RNAcentral.
CGAUUCCCUACGGGGUGCAGCAGGCGCGCAAACUUUACAAUGCGAGCAAUCGUGAUAAGGAAACCCUGAGUGCCUGUCGAUGCAGGCUGUUCAUAUAUCUAAAUCAUAUGUGAAGAAAGGGCAGGGCAAGACCGGUGCCAGCCGCCGCGGUAAUACCGGCUGCUCGAGUGAUGGCCACUAUUACUGGGUUUAAAGCGUCCGUAGCUUGACUGUUAGGUCUCUUGGGAAAUCUUCACGCUCAACGUGAAGGCGUCUAAGAGAUACCGGCAGUCUUGGAACUGGGAGAGGUAAACCGUACUUCGGGGGUAGGAGUGAAAUCUUGUAAUCCUCGAGGGACGACCUAUGGCGAAGGCAGUUUACCAGAACAGCUUCGACAGUGAGGGACGAAAGCUGGGGGAGCAAACGGGAUUAGAUACCCCGGUAGUCCCAGCCGUAAACAAUGUGCGUUAGGUGUGUCGGUAACCACGUGUUACUGAUGCGCCGAAGAGAAAUCGUGAAACGCACCACCUGGGAAGUACGGUCGCAAGGCUGAAACUUAAAGGAAUUGGCGGGGGAGCACCACAACAGGUGGAGCCUGCGGUUUAAUUGGAUUCNACGCCGGACAUCUCACCGGGUAAGACAGCUGAAUGAUUGUCAAUCUGAAGGUUUUACAUGACUAGCUGAGAGGAA